This 4817-nucleotide long non-coding RNA is filed under the name Lynx pardinus (Iberian lynx). The record is from RNAcentral. Lineage: Eukaryota; Metazoa; Chordata; Mammalia; Carnivora; Felidae.
CUGGCCUGAGAGCGGAGUAGGGUCAGGAUGGACAAGGACGUGCUGACCACCCUGAAGAUCCUCAUCAUCGGCGAGAGUGGCGUGGGCAAGUCCAGGUGAGGCGAGCCUGCGGGCCGUGACGAGGGCAGCGGGGCUCUUCCUGACGCCGUGGCCUCUGUCUGCUGGGCCGCGACGGGAACGGUAAAGGCGGCGGGCCAGGCUGGGGGCGGGCUCCGCGNNNNNNNNNNNNNNNNNNNNNNNNNNNNNNNNNNNNNNNNNNNNNNNNNNNNNNNNNNNNNNNNNNNNNNNNNNNNNNNNNNNNNNNNNNNNNNNNNNNNNNNCGAAGCCGGGUCUCGGCCCCCGGGGUCCAGGCUCACUGUCAUUCACCCCGCGAGUUGAGUUGGAACUCCAGCGCUUUGGUUUUUGUCAAGCUUUCUCUGAACACGCAGGGCUCUGCACGGGAAGUUUCGCGACGCCUUAGGUCACAUUCCUGGCCUAUUUUGGUGCACCCCGUUGCCGCUUCUCUGUUUCUUUAUGAGUCAGCUGUGAAAGAACUCCUUGGUCUUCUGACCCCUUGAGUAAUUCACCUUAGCCUAAGAUACGAGUUGAAGCGGCGGACCACCCUUGAGAGUAACAUGUUAUUGUUGCCUCGCGUUCUGCCACAUCAUCUGGAGGUAAAAGAACAAAGUAGUAUUUUGUGUUUUCUUUCUUGACUUUUUCUUGAGGGACGGUGGUAACGGACGGUAAAUUCGAGUUAAAUGUCAGUCAGGGAAGGCUCAGUGGGUGUUGCAAGCGGGGUGUGAUUUCAUUCAAGCCUUAGAACAGAGUUCCCCAAGGAAUGUUAUCUUUGCCAUCUGAUGAUUAUCAUCAUCACUGGCUUAUAUUCUAGGCUGUCUUGAUUUUUAAACAAUAUUCAAAUUUCGGGAGCUGUAAAUAAUUCCAUGGUUUAGCUGUGCCUCCUGCUAACCGUAUCGUUCAAAUCAGUUCAUAAAGUUUUCCUUUUGUUUAGAUGCUUACGGGUUUGAAAUUUUAUUCUGUAAUAUGUUCUGCAAUUGUAUAUAUAUUUUAAAGUAUGGCAAUGUAGUUUCUAAUUUUCCUCAUUUAAUGUUCUCAGUGUAUAUUGGAGUGGGGGAUUGGCACAUAACGGGGAAUAAAUUUAUGAAUCUAUGGGCUAGCAAAAUAGUGCGGUGUGUGUGUUAUUUAAAGGUUUCAAUAUUUUUCAUGAUCACCAUCUAUUAUAUUUGAGGGUUAAAAAAUUAGUUAAUAUAUUGAACAUUGUCAAAAGGAAUUCUAUAGCCUCGUGACCUUUCUUUUUUUCAUAAGAUGUGACUCUCAUUUUAGGUUAAGGCAUAUGAAAUUGCUGAGUUUGAACUCAAGAAUGGUUAAAUGUCAUUUUCUGCAGUUCAACCCAAUACAAGUUUGGUCGGCCCUUUUUAAAAAUGUAUUGGAGGGAUGACUAUUUAGGCCCUGUUAAAAUUUUCUGGAAGGUUAAUUGGAGUGUUUACAUAAUUGAGGUUCUUCCUCUAGCAUAAAAUCUGUGAAAUGGAUUUACUGGUUUCCUUACUUCUCUCCCCUCAGACAAACAAAUGUGUUUGGAUCUAAUCUCCAAGCUUUUCUAAGAACUUAAUGGCGAAUUUUCAGCUGCUUACUGCAAAAUUUUAACACCUUUAACUUCCUCUUUCAAGAAAGGAUUGUGUUUAGGGAGAAAGUUGGCAUCUGUCUAUAUACCUAUCUAGAUGUAGAUAUACUAGACAAGCACUAUUGGUGUAUGUGAUAUACUAUGGAAAACACCCUUGAACACUUUCUGGAUGAGAAUAAAUGACUCUGCUAAAAUAGAAGCCUAUGCUUUUUAAGGUGAGUUAGUACAAAAACAUUUGUCAUGGAUACAAUCUUCACGGGUUGUUCUGACCAGUAAGUUUCUAUGAUCUAGAGCUAGUAGAAGUGCAACAUCACUUGUAUUGUUGCAUGACAAAGGACAUCUUUUUUAAAAAUUUAAAUUAAUUAAUUAAUUAAUUUAAAUCCAAGUUAGUUAACAUAUGGUGUAAUAAUGAUUUCAGGAAAAGAAUUUAAUGAUUCGUCACUUACUUGUAACACCCAGUGCUCAUCCCAACAAGUGUCCUCCUUAAUGCCCCUUGCCCAUUUAGCCCAUCCCCCCAGCCAACAUCCCUCCAAGCAACCCUCAGCUUGUUCUCUGUAUUUAAGAGUCUCUUAUGGUUUGUCUCCCUCUCUGUUUUUUAAUAUUAUUUUUGCUUCCUUUCCCUUAUGUUCAUCUGUUUUGUCACUACAAAGAAUAUCUUAACUAAUUCAAAUUAGUGGGUUAUUUUUCCAGUUUAUUUCAGACUGUUGGAGUAUAAUGAGCAUGGGUGAUAGCAGUCAGAUCAGGAUUAUGAAACUGGUGCUGCCACUUGUGUGACCUUGUGUGUGAUACUUGAACACUCUAGGCGUUCAUUUCUUCAUUUGAAAAAUGAGGUUCGAAUGGAAAUCCCUCAAACCUUAACUGAUGUUAAAUGUAUGAGAUUCUUCUGUGGCUCACAGUGGGGAAGUAAAGAAGUAGCGAAGUGUUUCAGAGACUGGAAUGGAUUAUAGAGACUUUGUAUUAUCUAAAUUGCUGUCUCUCCUAUCCCUCUUGUGUCCCCAUCCUUUUUGGCCAAUUUCAUUUGUAAAUUAGGAAAGGCAGACUAAUUAUGAUCACACUGUUUAUUGGAAACUUGGUCUCCUCUCAGUGAUACAGUGGUAGUUACUCCUUCCAUCUCUCGCUCUGUGUGGAGGGUAUUUUGCUCCUUUAACUUUGAAAAUAUGAAAGCUUAAAUAUACAUCCUUUAGAGCUUUGGUUCUUAAUCAUUUUCUGGUUGUGGAUUCUUUAAAAAAUCUAAUGGAGAAAUAGACUCUCUGCCUUGAAGGAAGCAGAGCAUAGAGUUUAGAAUACAUUUCCAGCUAACAGUGUACCCCUGGCUAAGUUCUGCUUAUGUUAAAAUGUGUUGCUUUGUACCAUAUCAGUUCCCUGUCCUUCCUGACAAAGUACCAUUAAUGGCAAGUGUUAUUGUAAGGAUUAGCAAUUGUGUAAGAAGAACCGCUGGCUCAAGUGUGUGGCAUAUUGUUGAUGUUCAAUAAAUCAUAGCCAAUACUGUUGUUAUUAUUGUAUUGUUCUGGUGUUAUGAUUGCUACUACUACUCUACAAGGUUCUUAUGUUUUUGUAAUAAUAUUUCUUUGGUGACUGAGUAUGGAUACAUACCUUUUCCAUUCUAAAAUUAUGAGUAACUAAAUUUUUAGUGAAAUCUUCACUUUUAUUAACUUAAAAUUUAAUGUUGGGGAGAGAAGAUUUUUACAAGUGCAGCCUUUUAAGAUCCUUGUUAGUGCUGUCACCUAACUCAUGUUGGAAGUAAAAACCGUACAGUCAGGAGGGUUCAAUGUUAAGUAGAAAAAUCUACAAUUUGUUUCACUUUUGUGGUGCUGGUUUUAUGGUAAACACAAGAAGGCAAAACCAAGAAAAGGAGAGUUAAUCCCUUAACACCAGAUUUUGAAUACCAAAAGGCCAUUAUGUGUUGCAAUAUACUCUGGACAAAAAAAAAANNNNNNNNNNNNNNNNNNNNNNNNNNNNNNNNNNNNNNNNNNNNNAUAUAUAUAUAUAUAUAUAUAUAUAUAUAUGUAUAUACAUUUUUUUUUCAGUUCAAACAUCUGAUAGCUAUUUCCUUGAUCUUACUAAUGCAUACAGGUGAAUAGAACAGUCUAGUCCUAUUGUUGGAGAUGAUGUGAGGGAGGAUUGAUUAAUUUUAUAAAAUCCAGGGCUUUAAGAAAAGCUUAGAUUUUAUUUUUGAAGAGCUUUUAAUCACUGGCACUUUACCUUACAGUAAAUAAGUAAUUCUGGGAGAUAUAUAAUCUUAGAGUACUCCUAAUGGUGUCUUUUGCUUUUAUUUCAUCUUUUCCCUUCUAGUUUCUUUACUGUUUCCUGGAUUUAGUCCUUAUCUCUCACCAUAACCAUGGCAGUUGUCUUCUGUUAAUUUUCUUGCUUUUUUUUUCCUGUCAUUAACUUUUCUUUACAUUUUCAAAAUGUAAGAGCAUUUCUUGCCAUUUUUUUUUUUUUAAGCUUUCAGUAGCUCCCUGUGGCCUACUUGAUUUCAUACACCCUUCUUAGCAUUUGCCAGAAUGUAGUUAUUCUGUCUCUGGUAUGAUCUGUCUACCCUCACUUUUUGCUAGAUCUUUUCUUCCCACUUAGGUAGUAGUCCUACUACUUGUUACAAAAUGAUAGAUUUUCUCACCUGUAUGUUUUUACUUGAAUUCAGAGUGGAUUACACAUCAGACUUAAACAAAACAUUAAUUUGUUGUAUUCCAAGAGACUUAUUUUCCCCCCUUUUGUCCAUGUCACAGUAUAAUGUUUUUGCCGAUACUAUUUUCUCACAAGGACGUACCAGUACAGUUCAAAACCAAAACACAGCCCAAAUCUUUUCACACUUGGGAAUUAUGUAGGGGAGCAUGGGGACUAUAUUAAGUAAACUAUUUUGCUCUUGGGAUUCUUUUAUUGCCUUUUCAAUAAUUUAAUUAUUGGAAUUAAAUUAUUAUAAUAAUAAAUAAAUUAUUUUCAAUAAUUUAAUAUACCUGUAUUGAAGCAGUAUUUAUAUACCUGCACUGAGGCAGUAUUUGUGGGAGCAGACCAACAUCAGCGAUUCUUAUUUGUGUCUAAUUUGUAACAAAAUGUAAUACAUGGUUAAGAAAAAGAGAAAUUUCUAAUCUGUCUUUUUAACAUCUCUUUUAGCCUGCUCUUGAGGUUCACAGAUGAUACUUUUGAUCCAGAACUUGCAGCAACGAUAGGUAAGCCUGUAUUUAAAAAUUCAGUAGAGGGG